CUGAGCUGAGAGCUGCUGACUCCCAAGCAGAAACUAUUAGAAGAGACGCAGCCUCGUGUCUCUUUCCCGCAUUUAAACAAUGAAAUAAGCCCAUUUACUGCCAGCCGGCAGAUCUGUGUUUUCCUCCGUUCUUCACCAUGGAGGAUAGGAGCAAGCCAGUACUAAAGCAAAGCCUGGCUGGGAUGAGGAUUACUCACUGUAGCGCCGGCUGGGAUCACACUCCGGAUGUACGGUGGCCGGGGCAGGAGCCGCGUUCUCACGUCCCCUACGCACAGAAGCUCGGGUGCAAGUGAAGUCCUUGGGAAACCCAACUCCUGGACCCACCCAUUUCCGUUGGCCAGCGUGGAACCGAGCUCGGCUACCGCACUAGCCCCCUGCCUUCUCUCUCCCCCUCUCCCUGAAGCUAAACUUCAGAGGCCACCAGUAGAGGUCAACCCAGUUUUAGGGCGCAGCUCGCAUUCAGGCUGGGUAAUCCGCUUUGCAGAGCAGCCCUCCUUGGCGCAGGGAUGCCGUCCGACUCAGUCUGGAGUGGAUGCCCGUAUAAACGGUUCAAAGGGCAUGCAGAGAGCGUAGGUUGCGUUCCUUCCGCUGCACUGUAACUCUAGGCAGGCCAGCUGGGCUGUCCGUAGCCCCUCGGGAACGGGCAGGUGCGACCGAGUUAAUUUUCUCCGCUUUCCAAAGAAAGAUGACACGUCCUGCCCUUUCAUUUUUCAGCCCGCUCCCUCCGAAAGCCUGCUGGAGACGCACAAAAUGCCAAAGCCAGCGUUUGAUGGGGGCGGGGGGCGAGCCCUAGUCCCACCUACAUUUGAAGCUAUUUGAGAAAACAAAAAGUAGAGCAAACCCCGUGUCUCUUUUCGAAGCGACAAGGAAACGCUCGGGCGGACGAGAUAUACACACUGCACAGGCUCUCGGCCCUGGGAAAUAACAGAUGGGCUAGCCGGGCAUCUCGGCCGGGACUAACCUUCAGUCUAGGCCUGGAGGACGAGUGGGUGGGGGAGGAGAAUUCACCUUCCUGGCACAGCUCACUUGCGAUGUUGAUGUCCGGAGUAGGAGAUGCGGGGCUCUGCCUCUCCGUGUUCACAGCGGACCUUGAUUUAAUGUCAUACAAUUAAGGCACGCGGUGAAUGCCAAGAGCGGAGCCUGAAGACUGCGUCGAAGAUCUGACCGUCGAACAAGCCACAGUAAAAUAGAAACAGGCUGGGAGCCAGGGGCAAUAGAAAGCUGCGCUCACUCACCUAAGAAACUCUAGGCUAAAGCGGGUCGCGCCGCUGGAGCGGCUCAGUCCUUUGGAGAGGAAAGGAAGGCAGCGGCUGGCUUAGCGUGGGCUAGUGGCGGUUGUCAGGAGCAGGCUGUGCUGUUUGUUAGAGGCGAUGCAGCAACAGGGGUAGAAGUAGCAGUAGAUUUUGUUUCUCUGGGCUGAGGCGCCAGAAGUCAUUGAAACAGACCUGGUCUAGAGCUCUGGGAUUGGGUCUGCUGCACCCUCCUACCCGCCAGCCUAGCACUAGCCUAGGAAUGCCCGAUUGGUGUUUUGUCUCCUCCUGGGGCUUUUUGACACUAUCCCGCCUGACUGGCCUUGCAAGCCAAGGAAGGGGAAGCAGAAGGAAUGUAAGAAGCCAAACCUUUCUAAACGUACCAGGGCCGGCAGGAGAAGGUUUCCCAGCGAGGGAAGAGCGAAAGGCCGGAGAACCUGGUUUCCGUUGAGGUGCUUGGGGUGGCCGUGUCCUACGCGGGAGAGGAAGGCGGUUAGACGCGUGAGUGCAGGAGCUAGGGGGAGAAACCAGAGCUCGGGCUGUAACUCUCGCUGUGUGUCUUUGUUUAGCCGGGCCUACGCCUGCGGAGGAACAAAGGGGGAGGCAGACUCUGCUCAGGUCCCAUCGACAGCGGCCGGGGCCCUGCGCUGUCCAUGGUCCUGAAGGCAGCUCUUGUGCUUUAUUCUCCAGCUCGGAACCGCAAGGCUCCGGUUCUUCCUGCCGCUAAUUCGCAUCAGGAAAACACAUUCGAAGCGGGAGCCGGGCUAGGCCAGCUCGCGCUUUGCGAUCCCGAUCCGGAUACUUGAACCAGAAAAAAAAUGGGAUUGGAGCAGGGCUACUCUAUUUUCCUCCUCCCACUACCCAUCAUUUUAAGAUUGCAGCAUGAGUGUGUGUCAUUCAUAUGGGGUCCGGGCUGUUACUGAUGGGUAGCCGUGAGAAAAGAGACCGGGCGUGCCCAUCUAAACCUAGCGUUUAAAACCUGAAUUUUGUAAAGCAGGAUUAGUGUAGUACCCUUUCCGACAGCUCAACCGAUAGCCCUCUAACCGCUCCUCCCGCCCCAAAUGACUGGGAUCAGGCCCACAUUGAUUGGCACGCAGAAAAUAGGAGGCAGGAUGCAUCUGUCCACAAAAAUGCAACGUGGCAGCGCCAGACUCUAUUGAUUUCGUGCCGUUUCCCAGAGUACCCCAGCCGCUCCCAAAGGGCCUGUCUUUCAACUAUGCCAUUGCAAAGGUGGGGGCUGGGAGAGAAAGUAACACUAAAAUAAGAGAUGGAGGGGCUGCAAAACGACUGCAGGUAGGGAGGGCUCAAGAAUGUAUAGGACAUAAUGAUACUCAAUAGGGCCAGGAAAGCGUAUUAACGCCUACACACUGCCUGUCUGAACAUUAGCAUUGCAGGGGGCCGAGGGCGUGGGCACAGGCUGCUGCUAAUGGCCCUGGUGAUAACUAUCCACUGCACAUUUAGUCAUUGGCUAGGCUAUCAGGUCACACCCCUAACACUGAUAUUUUUUGCAGAGGAGGUGAAAACUGCUUUUUCCCUAUGGCUCAGGCCUCGGUCCUGCCGCCGUUGAAGUCAAUGACUUCAAUGGAUAUAGAAAGCAGCAGCUGUCUUCGGUAGAGGCCUUUAACUCUGGCAUAUUAGUCUCUUUACAGCUUAGCUGAAUUCUAAUACAUUCCAACACUUCAUUCAUCAAUAGGCCAACACAGCCACUGGGCAUUUCGGGUUAACCAUAACAAAACGAGACACAGGGAGCUGUUCUAAUGUCUUUGGAGGCAGAACAGUUCGAAGUGGAGCCCUGAUCCCGCAGUCCUCACUCAUGCGAAUACUCCCUUGGCUGCAGUGGGAGUUUGGCUUGGGUGACGACUGCAGCUCGGAUCCACUGCAUUCACCGCAAGUGAGAACAAUGACCUCCCUCCCCGAAACAUUUCACAGCUGAGUUCUGCUAGGGCUUCCUGCCGCAGAGGGACCAACGCUGCCUUUCCUGCGAGCUGCCCGAGAUUAUUUCUCCCCUUAAAGAACUGGACGUUUUAAUUCUGUGCCUAUUCCGUCCUCCCCUUUUUUAAAAGCUCGGACUGCUAAUGCCUCGAAUCUCUGCGACGAAUACUAAACAUAAGUCAUUAACAACUGUCCAGUAUUUAAGAAAAAAUGUAAUCCUCGGAAGCGAUAAAAUAACCCUCCGGGCUUACACAUGAUUGCAUAUGUCUAUCUGAGCACAUAUACUCUUCUGUUCAGUCUAUGAAAUUCCAAAGCAAGUUAGAACGCUGAUCAGGCAUCGAUUUUAAAUGUAUAAGUUGGCUCGUAAAACAAUGUAGGAGCCUAGCGCUGAAGUAUUAAAUUAAUUGGUUUCCGUCUCUAAGGCUACAUAGAAGUCGUAUAGUUUACUAAAUGCGUAUUGUAGGAUACAAAAUAGGGCAUAAAUGAAAUGUCUAACUAAGGAGUCAGUUACAAUACAUUCUAAUGUUUUAUUAGACAAACGGAAGCCUGAUAGUUUCUAAACGAUAGCGACUAGAAUUGGACAACGUGCUGUGAUUUAGCGAAAUGAUAAAGACAGAUUCUAUUAAAGGCUCGAUAAUUCCCGGUCUGGAGGUAUUUUGAAUCCUUAGGCGUUCCGAGAAAUUCUCCCUUAUGAAAAUAGACUCCGACUUUAAUAUUUACCACCUUCCUCUUUCAAAAAUGGAGUCAAAAGUUCUGCUCGGAGCAGUUUUUACACAGGGCAGCAUAAUGUCUUACCCAACUCAAUCCCGGCAUCUCGGGGAGGGAGCAGAGAGGUUUGGCUUGGAGCCCCCUCUGCAGUCAGGAGCAUUUAGAUUUGUGCUUGGUUCCAGUUAAAGCUUCUUGGAGGACAGACUUGCCCCGGGAAACGCUCCUACUUUGUUUGAAAUAAAGCCAGGCCGCACCAUUGGGAAAACGUAGGCAGUCGCAUGUUUUCUUAUUUCACUCUAGCUAAGCAGAGCAGAAAGCUACUAAACUAAUUCGGUACACGGCGUAGGUUAGUUAACUAGGUCACGGCACCCUCUACUGGCCAAAAGAGGAAGAACGUCGAUUUACAAAUGUGUUCGAUGGCGUCUAGGGAAAAAAACCCGAAACUAAACAUUACAGAGUUAACCUAAUACUUAGACUAAUCUAUUCAGUAUUUUGCAAUUUAAAGGACUGAAUGAGAACUCGGCUGCACGGAACCCGAGGAUUUCCCUCAAUUGUUUUGAAGUCACAAAGAGGGAUGGCGACUUCAGGUGUUGCGGAGUUCUAAAUUCUAGAAUCUUUGGUCUGCGGCCCCAGUACGAAGCCCUCGUGAAUCACCCAGGAGCUUGGGACUUUGCCCGAGAGCUGAAAAAGAGUAAAACAGGCGGAAGGCAAGAUAUUCCCCGGGUAGCCAAGUCAGGAGAGAGUUCCAGUGCUGACCUUAUGAAUGUGAGACAUCUGAAGUGACACAGGUAAGUGGAAGGAAGAUCAAAGAAAACUCUCCCACAGAAUUUGCCCUCUUGAGUUUAUUUUAAUCCUGCGAAAUCCUAAGGAAUAGGCUACUCGGAUUUCAAAGGGUGGAAGAAAAGGAGAGGGGAAACAAAGCACAACUUUCAACUACCAAAGACUAGCGAGUGCCCAUGGUUUUUACAAUUAAAGUAUCACCCAAAAUAAAAGAAAUGUCCAACAAACAAGAACUAGCAAAGGAAUGGCAAGAGAUUCAUUUCCCGAUCCUUGCUAUAGGCAGACCUCACCGCUUCCGUUGCAUUAUUCAGCUCUUCUGAUGUCAAUUUGCUGCCACAUAAUACUGUGCUACCACCAUAUAUUGUUUUAAAAAUUAAAUAUCUGACAGGUUUCCUUGUUUUUUAAAAACAAGCGAAGUGCUGUAGAAAUAGCACAGUUGGAUAAUGGGGAAGGAGUAGCUUGUUACACCUCCCCAAUGUUCCAUAGGAGCUAGUAUAUUUCUUCAGCUGUAUUACUUGAAUAUUGUGACUUACUAAAUAAUAAUAGGAUCAUACAUACACUUGAAUAAUUUUCAAAUAAAGUAACACAAUGCAGUAAUUAUAUCACUACUGAUGUAAUGAAAGUUCAUUUCUUGUUCACACUGAUUUAAGGGGCUAGUUUAUAAUAAAUCUUUUAGAAAUAAAAUUUGAUUUAUUAAAUUGUGUCAAUAUGAAAUGGUUAAAUGAUACUUUAAUGCAAACUAAGCUUUUAUAUGAAAAUACUUAAUCUUAUUUAACCUUAAAAGUAUACUUGCUAGGGCCUAGUUUAACAUCAGUCUUCUGUACUAGAAAGUAUCAAAUUAACUAUUUUAUUCAUAAUGAGUGAACCAAUUAUACAUUUCCCACAAUCUCUAGCGAAUGGAGUGAUGAAUUUGGAAACGGACAAGUAAGAAUUGCAUGGGAAGGAUUGUGCUAGGGUAGUUCUCCCUCAGCAGUUACAACUGCCACACUUCUCUGAAGAUUACUUUGCAGUUAUUUUAACAAGAGAAAAUAAUUAGAGCAUGAAGGUCCUUUUGCCUUUGAUGAUGACACUUUGCUCUAUUGUUAGUGUACAUCCCCGUGCAGAAGGCUUGAGCAAAAAAGCUUUCUGCACUGUUCUCCAAAUGUAUGUUCCUCCUGAGGGUGUUAUCCAGAACUCACCACACCAAUAAUACAACACAUUACUAUUAAAGGGCAUUUUAUAUCCUUCCAAGUUCUAUAAUUAGUUACAGUAUUAGAAGUAUUCAAAGUACAAGAGAUCCAUUAAGUCAUUUUAAAAGAAUGUUCCGUUCACUACAAAAUAGCUGUCACCCACAAGGUAUGCUUCCCUUCUCCCCCUCUCCCUCCAAACAUAGUAAAUAAUUUUGUGCAGUAGGUUGGUUUCUUUGGAUCACAAACUCCACCUGCAUUCAGUCCAUACUUUAAUAUCAGUGGAAGCUGAGAAUGUAAACUCAGGGGAACAUAUAUAUAGUAGACAGUUAAAAAUGUAAUCUUUACAUUUUUACCAUGUUUACUUAAGUGAGACUUAAGAUACUCACAUACAUUGGGAGAAAUCCUGGCCCUAUUGCAGCAGAUAGCAAGACUCUCACUGACUUCACUAGGGUCAGGAUUUCAUCUUCAGCUAAAUGAUGCUUAUUGAAUUCUAUAGAAAUUAGUCUGAAUUAGGUGAAAAGCAAAUAUAUCAGGAUUUGGCCCUUAGUAAUUAAAAUAAUUUUUUAAAUAACAAUUUAAAAAGAUUUAAAGUUUCCCCACCCUGCAUUGUGUACAAUAUCCCACUAUCACCAGAGCAAAUAGUUUGCAUUUAAAAAAGACAAAACACAUCAUGAAUAGCUUUACAUAGGUCUCCCUACUGUCUGCAUUUCAAGCUAAGGUUAAAUAGUAGACAUUCUACUAAGCUUCACCUAAGACAUGCAAAAGCUGAAAAAUCAGAAAUAUUUCCAUGUCCAGGAAAAGUUGCCCAAGAACCUGAAUCUUAGGCCUUUUGGGUGCAAGCAGGAAGUGUUAGUGUUCUCAGCAUAAAAUCUAACAGUUUUUAACUGGUCUCCAAACAUGCAGUUGCAUCAGUUUUUGCACACAGCCCCUUUCGUUUAAGAUAUGAAAAAGCCCACAUUUAUAAAUGCAGUUUGAGUACAUCUAUCCAUCUUGUGAGCACAAAUGCUGGCUUUGAAUAUGCAAAACUGAUACCUGCACAUGAUAUACAUAAAAAAAAGUAUUAAAAACAAUUCACAGCAGAAUAAAUAUUUUGCUCCCUUGUCUUAGGUUCUGAUUCAGGAAAGCAUGUAAGUACAUGCUGAAAGUGAAGCAUGCUCUUAAAUCCAAAUGAUUUCAAUGUAAGCAUGUGCUUACGUGUUGUCUUGAGUGUUGAUGCUUUCCUCAGUCAUGACUGACAUCCCCAAAGCAAUUAUGUACAUGGUUGGUCCUAUGGAGUUAAAUGGGGGCAGUUCAUAGGCAUAAAGUUACUUAAACAUAAAGAACUGCUGGGACGGAAACUUACUUUCUCAUUAUAUAUGGAUGACUUUAUAGCCGAGUACAGCCAAUUCAAUGGAACCCCGCAAAAAUAAUCUUCAUAAACAAAAGACUGCAUUAAUGUAAUUUUAAGGUUUUGAACAAAAUCACACAAAACAAGAAAUACACGGGAGAUGGGUUUCCCAUCCUGUGAAAACUGUGAAGAUAGCAAAAGAUUUUUGCAUUCCAGAUACAAGCAAAAAGUCAAAAUCAAUUUUUUUUACUUGAAAAACCAGUUUUUCAGCUGAAGUAACUUAAAGUUUUCUUUUGGUUGUUUUGAAAGAUUUUGGUUUGGAUUUUGAUUUUUUCAUAUUUUCCAACUUUCUGGUAUACAUUUAAAAACAAAACAAAAAUUUGAGUUAAAAAAUAGCUUUCUAGUUUAAAAGUGUCAAAACUGGACAUUGACAAUUUCAACCUCACCCUCAAUGUUUCUAAUCAGAAGAUUUGCUGAAACUCACUGUGUUUCAGGAUUAGUUUCCAUUAGACUGUUUUGGUGAAACAUGAGUUGUCAAAAAUUUUCUGACCAGCUAUAUUUAAAACUCAUUUUGCUCUGGCAGUAUUAACUCAGCCAUAUUACACACUCUGCAUGUGUGUGCAUUUAGUAUGCAUCAGUAACAGGAUUACUACAGUACGGUCACAGGAAAAUAAAACAUGUGCGGUGUACCAUAGUAAACAUUGAUGGAAUAAUCUUAACUUUUGGAAUUUUCUUAUGAGCAAAUUAACCUCACACAAAUCAUCAAUACCAGGAUUUUUUCAUAUUUAAAAUUUCCCAGUUUUAAAGAGGAGAAAACAGAAGAUUCAAAGACAGUCUGUUCCCUUGUUAUUUCAAAAAAUUAAUGCUCAUUUACAUAGUUUAUAUUAGCUAACUACACAUAUAAUUAUAGUAGCUUCACAUGAACAUUCAGUACCUUCAUAUUUAACUAUAAGUCUAUAGACUUUUAAUUUUUGUAUGUCUACAAAAAUCCCAGUUGCUCCAAGGCUGAUCCCUUUCUCUCUCUGGUGCUCACUCAUAUACACCAAACACACAGACUAGGUAUAUACACAUAUACUAAAAUAUAUAUGAAUCCUAAACAUCACUGCCUGUUAUUUGAAAAUUGUAUAUCACAUAGUGUAAUACACCGUUUUUUCCAACCAAGGUAUUAAUCUUCCAUGAAAAUUAUAUACUGUCCAAGUUUCUUGUCAAAUAUACCUUAGUUAUUUUUCCUCAAACUUUGGGCAGAGGUCAGUGUUGCACAACUUGAAGCUAAGAACAUUUUGGAAGGAAAAUAGACAACUAGAAAUUGUUUAGCUUUGUUUACACCAGUAGUUUUACAGCCAAUUCCACAGGCCCAGUAGAAUAUAUGCUCUUGCUCAUAUUGUGAAUAUGUAGCUCAUAUUAUGAAUAUGAAAAAGCAGAGAUGAAGGGCUGUAUUUUCCAAGGUGCAAGGAAAACCCUAGCUUGUUGUGAGUUUGGAAGAGCAGAAUUUGGUGGUUUUAUUGGAAAGAAAUCAUGUGAGAGAGAAAGAGAUUAAUAUUGAAAUGAGAUAUACUAUGGAGAGCUAGAAAUUAUGGGCCAGUGAAAAGAGAGGGGGAGUGAAAGUGACUGAAUUAGAUGAAAAGGAAACAACAAGCUAUUUCAGAUGUUUAAGGUGGAGGAGAAAGGCAGGUCAGCAAGAGAAUACUCAGCGCAGCAGGAGCACAACUGCAAAACAGUUGAGACUAUUUUCUUGAAUUUUUAAAUAUAAUUUGCUUGAGUUAUCUGCUCAUCACUUACAUUUGCGCAAUUGAGUUUUAAUGUUUUCUGAAAGCAAAAACCUAAAAGUUCUGGGCCCAGAAAUUUAUUAAAACACACAUACACAUUUUGACUUGUAAGUGUUCAUUCUGGAAAUGCUUUGAGCAUUUAUCCAGUUAGGGAGAUGAAACAAUUCUAUCUGGGUGGUAACCAAUGUCGUUCAAAUGAAUAGAUGAUUAAUGCAUACAAAGAAUUGUUCCUGAUCAAUCCAGAAAGUUUUUUAAAAAAUCAAGUGAAUGCAUUGGAGGAAAUUAUGACCUAUUCACAUAUGUCAAAAUAAAGUACUAUAAAAUAUUUUUCUGUAUUAAAGACAGUGUAGAAAGAAAUUUGGUAUUUGAUACAUUUGGAUGUGAUGGCAAAUGUAAAAAGAGAUUAGGUCAGAAAGGUGGGGAGGUAAAGAGCUUGUAUGCUUGGAUUAAGAUUCCAGGGGAGAUUUUAGAGGAUGGGGAAACAAAUUCUUGCUUCCAUUUCUGCAUAACAGACCAGCUGCUACUGAGAUGAUAUUGAAAUCUGAACAGUUGAAACUUACAGAGAUUUAAUGAAGGGAAUUGCAGUGGUCAAGAUCACAGAAGAUGAAGACAUGGACCACUUUAGAAGUAUCACUGAGAUAGUGUUAAUUAGAUAUUUCAGAGAUGAAAGCAAACAGGUUUGCAGACCCAAAAAAAGAAGAGAGUAGGUGAAAUGAAGGCUUUAUUGCAGUCAGUGUCAAAACUGACUGGUGCCUGAAGUCACUUUUCAUUUAUAAACUACAAACCUGACAAUGAAGAAUGAUAGUUUGAGCAGAGGAGUGAAAUGAGACAUUGGGGGAUUGGUUAAAGAUGGUUUUUUUCCUACUGUUUAGAGGAACAUAAAGUUACAGAUCCAAUGAACAGAAAGAAAAUUAUGAGGGGCUGAUGAACUGAUGAUGAGUUCAACAAUGGGAAUUAUAGCUUCCUGUAGAAGGACCAAUAAAUGAACCAAAAAGGUCAGCUCUUCAUUUUAAGAAAUUUCCCUAUCAGUAAACAUUUAAAAUGAUGCAACAAAAUCUGGUGAGUAAAAUAUAAGAUGACAAUCAAGAGUUGUAAGAAAAGAUGACAUCUUACUUUGGUUAAAGCCUUCUCAUGCUCUAAUGGGCUGCACACUAAGUAUUUAAAGGAACCAUGAGAACACUGUCAUCCAAUAUUUUAUGUAUGAAAGUCCUUAAAACAGCAGAACAUUAGGAAAGGAACAUAAACCCCAUUAAAUUAUCUCAGCAUGGAGGUCUCCGGACUGUCCCAUUAUUUUUAUAUACGAAUGGGGCAGCCCUCAUUCAUGUACCACCCCUCGCUGUAGUAGGGCUUGCAAGAUAAAACUUGCACACUCCUCCCCAGCCACUGCAACAAGGAAGGACCCAUCUGCCAAAUGUAUUGUCUCAGGACUCCAUUACUAGCUAGUCAUUUCAAACAAAAUCAUGCAGAUUAGCUAGGUAGAGGGCUGAUUUGUUAAGUCUACUGUAUUUGUCCCUUUCAGUGGCUGCUUUGCAUAAAAGAUAAUCAGAGCUGAUGACUUGUGGCUGUGGCUUGUGCUUGUGUUUGAAAGCCUAUGGACCUGAGAUGCUAGUGAUCAGCUAUCACAGAGGUGGGGAACCUAGGGACUGUAAGCUGAAUCUACCCCAUCUUAAUUGAUCCAGACUGUGGUAAGCCUCCACGGCAUGAGCCAGAAGCCCUGAACAUUGGCACCCCCUGUGGGGCUGGAGCAUGGCACAUGCUGAGUUAAGUGUGAGUGUGCGGUGGGGUUUUUUUCUUCCCAUCUUGGGAACAGGUGAGUGGUGAGGGGGGUUUAUUGUUUUGAUUUGGUUUUUUGCUUGUAUGUAGUCCCAGGCUGAUUUUUCUGUGGCUCAGUGGCCCCUCACUGAGAAAAGGUUCCCCUCCCCUGUACAGGAGAGUGUAUGUAUUACACAUUGAGUGUUUUGUGUCACCCACAAGAAGCUGGGGACUACUCCUAUUGCCUACUCUGCAGAAGUUGACCUUCCUUUUUAACAAAUGCUUCUGGUUCAUUUUUAACAAAUGCUUCUGGUCCUUUUGGGGGACAGGGGACAUGGGGAUUUCUCAAAAAUCAAAAAGGGGGCUCGAUGCCGAAAAGUUUGGGAACCACUGUUAGGGACUCCAGCAGACACCAAUCAACACUGGUCAGUUAAAAAGCAAAGUAGCAUGAAACAUUCAUUCUACCUACAGGUUAAGUGAGUCGACUAUACAAUUUAGCUCUGUUAAUCUGAAAAGCAAGGCAUCUGGAUUGGAAAUCAUUCAGGAUUUGAAAAAUCAUUAUGGUGGGUGAUUACAGAAACUGCAUCAUUGGAAUUAACCAAAACCUAAGUGGACAAAGUACCCAGAGCUGUCAGUUCAUCAUCAAACUGUCAUGAGUCUGAACUCUGCUCCCUCAGUGCCUCAUCACCAAGCCCUCAAUUGACAGGUUUCCUGUGGUACGUGAAUGUGAUUGGCACAGUACCCUGCCAGAAAUUAUCUGCCUCCAGAUCACUGAGUGAUUUCACCCCUGAGGUGUUUUAAGGAACCUUUCCCCUCAUAUCACAAGGCAAUGGGAAAUAUUGGGUCCCAACGCUCCCAGCUUUUUGCUGACCACAGAGCAGAGCUGCAAUGCAGAACAUCACCACAGGAAUGGGCACCAGUGGCAACGGUCCUUUACCUAGUCUCAAAUCUCUCGUAUGUGGUCCCUGUCUCCUCCUUACAGGGCUUCUUUGUAGGUCAAACAGCAGAGUGUAUUAAGAUGCUUCCUUACAAUUAUCUUAACCCACAGUACCUGGACAACAGAUAGCAGGUCUGGAACCACAAACAACAAGGGAGAGAUCUGUGGACCUUUCUCCAGCUCAGUACAAGUAAGAGGAACUGACAUGACAUUUCCUCAGAACAGGGAGGGCUCUUGAAACUCAGCUGUGCUGAUGCUUACAAGCCGGAAUGACUGUUUCAGCCACCAGUCUGUGCUUUGGCACCUUCAAAUAUUGGUUCUUCUAGAUCUUUGGACAUUUUUGCUUUGUUACCUACAAACAUUGCUACUUUGGGACACUAGCAUCUAGCUGCUCACUAUCUCCAGGCCUCCGAAUAUAUGUAUGUUGGCAGAAAAGUGCAAACCCAACAUACCAAUUGCAUUUGAUGUUUAUUCUAGAUGUGCAGGAGCAGUUUACACAAUGAAAACUUCUGCUACCCAAAUGGUCUCAAAUGCCAUGCUGCAUACUGAUUACCCAUUAAGUACUUACUAUAGAACCUCAGAGUUAUGAACUGAUGCAUCAACCACACCCCUCAUUGGAACUGGAAUUACACAUCAGACAACAGCAGAGACAAGCAAAUCCAGUACAGUACUGUGUUAAACAGAAACUACUAAAAAUAUAAAGGGAAAGUUUGAUUUAAAAAUUGCUAAGGUAAGAAACUAUUUCUGUGCUUGAUUAAUUUAAAUUAUGAUGGUUAAAAGAUGCAUUUUUCUUCCACAUAGUAAUGUCUCAAAGCCUUUUUAAGUCAAUGUUCAGUUAUAAAUGUUUGAAAGAAUAAACAUGGAAUUUUUUUCAGCAUUA
This is a non-coding RNA of Pelodiscus sinensis (Chinese soft-shelled turtle), 12501 nucleotides long. Lineage: Eukaryota; Metazoa; Chordata; Testudines; Trionychidae. The record is from RefSeq and is a predicted model, not a curated record.